This 593-nucleotide ribosomal RNA is filed under the name Trichoderma asperellum. RNAcentral describes it as "eukaryotic LSU rRNA". The stretch from base 217 to 370 matches the Rfam family "5.8S ribosomal RNA". Lineage: Eukaryota; Fungi; Ascomycota; Sordariomycetes; Hypocreales; Hypocreaceae. The record is from RNAcentral.
UUUCUGUAGGGGUAACCUGCGGAGGGAUCAUUACCGAGUUUACAACUCCCAAACCCAAUGUGAACGUUACCAAACUGUUGCCUCGGCGGGGUCACGCCCCGGGUGCGUCGCAGCCCCGGAACCAGGCGCCCGCCGGAGGAACCAACCAAACUCUUUCUGUAGUCCCCUCGCGGACGUAUUUCUUACAGCUCUGAGCAAAAAUUCAAAAUGAAUCAAAACUUUCAACAACGGAUCUCUUGGUUCUGGCAUCGAUGAAGAACGCAGCGAAAUGCGAUAAGUAAUGUGAAUUGCAGAAUUCAGUGAAUCAUCGAAUCUUUGAACGCACAUUGCGCCCGCCAGUAUUCUGGCGGGCAUGCCUGUCCGAGCGUCAUUUCAACCCUCGAACCCCUCCGGGGGAUCGGCGUUGGGGAUCGGGACCCCUCACACGGGUGCCGGCCCCGAAAUACAGUGGCGGUCUCGCCGCAGCCUCUCCUGCGCAGUAGUUUGCACAACUCGCACCGGGAGCGCGGCGCGUCCACGUCCGUAAAACACCCAACUUUCUGAAAUGUUGACCUCGGAUCAGGUAGGAAUACCCGCUGAACUUAAGCAUAUCA